This 262-nucleotide ribosomal RNA is filed under the name Pneumocystis jirovecii. RNAcentral describes it as "partial large subunit ribosomal RNA". It matches the Rfam family "Bacterial large subunit ribosomal RNA", at positions 779 to 1035 of the family's 2925-position model. Lineage: Eukaryota; Fungi; Ascomycota; Pneumocystomycetes; Pneumocystales; Pneumocystaceae. The record is from RNAcentral.
CUGUGUACGUUGCAAAGUACUCAGAAGAAUUGUGGUAAGUAGUGAAAUACAAAUCGGACUAGGAUAUAGCUGGUUUUCUGCGAAAAUUGUUUUGGCAAAUUGUUUAUUCCUCUUAAAAAUAGUAGGUAUAGCACUGAAUAUCUCGAGGGAGUAUGAAAAUAUUUAUCUCAGAUAUUUAAUCUCAAAAUAACUAUUUCUUAAAAUAAAUAAUCAGACUAUGUGCGAUAAGGUAGAUAGUCGAAAGGGAAACAGCCCAGAACAG